CUUCCACCUCGAGGAGGUCCCCAAAGCCAACCCAAUGGCCAAACAACACGAGAACAAAUGGGCUAUGGCCGGGAAGAGGUCAGGGAGCAAGGGGGCCACGGGGAUCCGGGGCGUGGGACUCAGGCCCCGGCCUGAGUCUUAGGUAUCCGUAGCGCCCUCCUUCUUCCUCCUCUUCGCUGAUUGCAGCUCACAGUAAGUACUGGUUCACACAGUUCGUUCUCUGGGUGCUCACUCUCUUUCUCUUUCUCCACAGGCAUCAACUUGGGCACACUAGCACAGUUAGUUUGCUUUGAAUGGCUCUCACCUCUGGGCUGGACACAGCGUACUGUAAGUACAGGGUUCGCUCUAUUCCUCCUCGUGUUAUUCACUCUCUCUCCUUUUCUCUCCACAGGUAUCAACUUGGGCACAAUAGCACAGUUAGUUUGCUUUGAAUGGCUCUCACCUCUGGGCUGAACACAGCGUACUGUAAGUACAGGUUUCCUCUGUUUCUCCUUGUGUUACUCACUCUCUCUUUCCUUUCCUCUCCACAGGUAUCAACUUGGACGCAAAGCACAGUUACUCUGCUUUGGAUGGCUUUCACCUCUGGGCUGGACACAGCGUACUGUGCUAUCUCCGGAGAUCUGAAGCACGCGCACAACAUAUACUGUACUGAACUAGGCUAGGACCAGCAGUCUCCUUGUCCUCCCGCGACGAAGUGCGUGAAGGCGGGGGUUUAUCUGACAGGACACACGGCAAUACACAGCAGCCCACAGCAAUAUACAGCACCACGUCAAAAAUUAUAGGUUUUCACAGCAUGAAGACUCACCCACCACACUCAGUGUACGAAAAGGACACCCGUCUUCCUUCACUUCGCUUGGUUCGGAUCUGGCGAUGGAAUAUGCGGCCUAGCUAGUGAUGUCGUCGUUGUGACUACUUCAAUAAGUAUUCCUUCGGCUCUCCCACCACGCUAUAUUAGGGGUAGGGCCGCCCUCCUCCUCCUGGAGAGAUCUACACAACGCCAGGUCAAUAUACAGGGCACUUUCGACUGGCUCUUAGUACUCACAUCAAUGCCGCUUCCAAUCCCCUUUUUCACGUCGUCUCAGUUCGCCGUAAAAUCCGUUCACUUCUCAACCUUUAAGGUUCGCGAUGUCUUCACAAUCAUACAAUUCCAGCCUGAGGGAGAGAGAGAGUUAGACAGCCGCCAGCAGCGCACCAAGACGGGCACAACACAGUGCUUCACACACACCAGAAAGAGCGCCCAGACUGUGAAAUAACUUGGCCUUAAGUACUGCCUUGUCCAGCGUAUCCUCCAAUCACCAA
Molecule: long non-coding RNA, 1299 nt
Organism: Cyprinus carpio carpio
Lineage: Eukaryota; Metazoa; Chordata; Actinopteri; Cypriniformes; Cyprinidae
Source: Ensembl